Hevea brasiliensis (rubber tree) is the source of this 334-nucleotide long non-coding RNA. RefSeq lists it as uncharacterized. The transcript is spliced from 3 exons. The record is from RefSeq and is a predicted model, not a curated record. Lineage: Eukaryota; Viridiplantae; Streptophyta; Magnoliopsida; Malpighiales; Euphorbiaceae.
UGAUUAGGGUUUUGGUUUUAAUUCCUUAGAAACUUCCAUUGGCGGUUUAAGAUUUGUGCCACAACUCUAACACUGACAACCCAUUCCCGGUUUCUUUCCUCUGCUUCCUUUCUAAAACUCAACCAGCAAUCACUUCUCCUUCCGAAAUUUCGACUUCUCAAGCCCACACCUCGCAAUUCUAGGUGCGCUCCCGUCGUCUUCGCCGCUCAGUUUGAUUUCUUUAAAGUUAUUCAAACAACAUGGAAGGUUGGGAAGGAUGGUGUUGAAGCAGGAACUAAUCUGGUGCCUGACUCUGUACCAAGACCAAUUGCAAGGAUUUCAAGAAUGAUUGUAG